CACAUAAAGCAAACAUAAACUCAAUUCAAUUUUCAAACAGAAAUAAACACACACACAUAGACACACACACACACACACGUAGGCGACAUGCAGCUGCCGUUUCGAUUUAAAUGGCUGCUGUUAAUAGUGAGCGCGUUUAUUGCAACGGUAAGCGAGCGCACAUUUAACGGGCAAGCGACCCAUUAAGCGUUAAGCACUUCACAGAGUCGCUGCUGGGCGAGAUUUAUCACGGAGGAGCAACAGCCCAACGAGUACGACAAAUUAAACGCAACCAAAAGCUUCAUGCGGCAGCAUAUCAAUGAAACGCGCUCAACCGAUAACAAUAGACAGCAGUCCGAUAGCAGCGCCGCUCGCACAGUGGUGCACAUCAAGCGAAAACGUAGCGAUAAUGUGGGAGACGAGGACAUACCGUUCGACUUUCAUACAAAGCACAUGCCCUGCGACAUUGACGCAGCGGAGCUGAAGAAAUUCAUUGACACAAUGCCGCGCCAAUGCAUUUGGGUGUACAACCAACGCUACAAGGAUGAGGAUUCAUAUCGCAUGUACCGCAUCUAUCAGCUGGAGGCAUUCUUCUUCGGGCAGUUGUCGGAGCGCAUGACGCGUUUUGAGGUGGAUCCGCAUGAUUUUGAGAAUGUUAAUGUUAAUGUAUAACUCAGUGAGCUAUGAAAAUCAAAAUAUACAUAAUUUUAGUAACACACACACACUAAAGUAACAUUUUAAUUUCGUUUAACUAUGCAGCUGCCCACAAAUAUUGCUACACUGCUUGCACUGCAAAUGGGUUUGCUGCAAUGCGUCGUGAGCGGUCGAACGCUUGUGGAGCCGGCAAAGAACAGUACUAAGCUCCAGCGUCAAAAUAGCACUGAGCGCAUCCCUAAAUCGCUGGAGAGCUCAGUCGUGCGCCACAUUGUGCGCAGGAAGCGCGAAACUAGAGCCACCUUGCCCUACGAUUUCAAUACAAAACAUUUGCCUUGCGAUUUCGAUCAGAAUGGACGUUCCACCGCCGUUGAAACGUUUCCAAAUCACUGUAUAUGGGUUUGGAACAAUCGCUAUACACACGAGGGUUUCUAUAGGGUCUACAAAAUCUAUCAGGUGGAAGCUUUCUUCUUUGGGCAGUACGCUGAGCGCUUGAAGCGCUACGAGUGCGAUCCACAGGACUUUGAGUGAAAGCAAGAAAUUUAUAAAUCAUUUGAUUACUACAGCAAUUUAUGUCAGUUCAUAAAUAACAAUCACUUCACUUGUUCUCAUUUAUUCGUUGUUGUUAAAUUUACUUAUGAGUAGUUUUUGUUUUGUAUUUUUAGUUGCGCUCACGCCUUGGCUGCAAUUCGCCAAUGCGCGCACUUUGGCGUGCACGCAGCCCACAGCGUCCAACAGCAAUAGGAGCACAGCAAGUGUUGAGGAUGCACGGAACGCUACUGUGGCCGCAUUGCCGGCGCAGAUCACAAAGCCACUGGAGCAAGCGCGUGCUGUGCGGCAUAUAGUGAGACAUAGUCGUGAUACGAAGUCAUCGGUGCCAUUUGAUUUCAAUACGAGGCAUUUGCCUUGCGAUUUCGAUCAGAAUGGACGUCAUAAGGCGCUCGAUUCAUAUCCGAAUCAUUGCGUGUGGAUUUGGAAUAAUCGAUAUUCGAACGAGAAAAUGUAUCGAUUCUACAAAACCUAUCAGCUCGAGGCUUUCUUCUUUGGGCAGUACUAUGAGCGCCUAAAGCGCUUCGAGGUCGAUCCACACAGCUGGGAUUACACUAAUAUAGGCGUCUAGUCUAAAUUAAAUGUGCGCUUAGCAAAAAAGACAAAUUGAA
Molecule: RNA transcript, 1793 nt
Organism: Drosophila busckii
Lineage: Eukaryota; Metazoa; Arthropoda; Insecta; Diptera; Drosophilidae
Exons: 3
Source: RefSeq, a predicted model, not a curated record